Molecule: long non-coding RNA, 522 nt
Filed under: Equus caballus (horse)
Lineage: Eukaryota; Metazoa; Chordata; Mammalia; Perissodactyla; Equidae
Description: lncRNA (ENSECAG00000056390.1)
Source: RNAcentral
CCCAGGGAACAAGACAUUGGCAGCAGCCAUUAUUGUGACCUAGUACAGGCAUGCUGACACAGAUGCCAGCAGACGCCAUUGGAGUUCUUCCUCUGGCCUGUUAGCCCAGGGGUUGGCACCACAUACUAAAGCACUGAUUUAAUCCAGUUCAGCCGUGGCAGGCAGUUGGCCCUUGGCACUGGCUGGCCCCACUCAACAGCAAGCCCUCAGGCAAUUCAUGGGCCCACAUAAGCAGGGUGCCUGAAAACUCUGGCUGCCAGAGAAAGUGUCUCCUAGUGUCAGUUGAUGACCAUCAUCUUCUUGGGCAGAACUUGGAGGUUGACCACCUCAAGGACCACCGCUCAGGCCAUACACGGACUCACCUUGGCUCAGACGUCUCUACUUCCUGCAGCCUCCCAUCACACUACCCAACCGAAAAAUCCUUGAAGGCAAGAACUUCAUCUGCUAGUUUUUAUCCCUGACAACAUCUAAGAUUCUGUGCUCACCAAGGAUGUUAAAUAAAUGUUGCUGAGUGACUUGAGC